Triticum aestivum (bread wheat) is the source of this 115-nucleotide non-coding RNA. Lineage: Eukaryota; Viridiplantae; Streptophyta; Magnoliopsida; Poales; Poaceae. The record is from Rfam.
AUACUACUCCCUCCGUUCGGAAUUACUUGUCUCGAAAAUGGAUGUAUCUAGAACUAAAAUACGUCUAGAUACAUCCAUUUCUGUGACAAAUAAUUCUGAACGAAGGGAAAACCAG